This 888-nucleotide ribosomal RNA is filed under the name uncultured bacterium. RNAcentral describes it as "bacterial SSU rRNA". It matches the Rfam family "Bacterial small subunit ribosomal RNA", at positions 8 to 916 of the family's 1533-position model. The record is from RNAcentral.
AGAGUUUGAUCCUGGCUCAGGACGAACGCUGGCGGCGUGCCUAACACAUGUAAGUCGAGCGAUGAAGCCCUUCGGGGUGGAUUAGCGGCGGACGGGUGAGUAACACGUGGGUAACCUGCCUCAAAGAGGGGGAUAGCCUCCCGAAAGGGAGAUUAAUACCGCAUAACAUUAGCUUUUCGCAUGGAGAGCUAAUUAAAGGAGUAAUCCGCUUUGAGAUGGACCCGCGGCGCAUUAGCUAGUUGGUGAGGUAAAGGCUCACCAAGGCGACGAUGCGUAGCCGACCUGAGAGGGUGAUCGGCCACAUUGGAACUGAGACACGGUCCAGACUCCUACGGGAGGCAGCAGUGGGGAAUAUUGCACAAUGGGCGAAAGCCUGAUGCAGCAACGCCGCGUGAGUGAUGAAGGCCUUCGGGUUGUAAAGCUCUGUCUUUGGGGACGAUAAUGACGGUACCCAAGGAGGAAGCCACGGCUAACUACGUGCCAGCAGCCGCGGUAAUACGUAGGUGGCGAGCGUUGUCCGGAUUUACUGGGCGUAAAGGAUGCGUAGGUGGAUGUUUAAGUCAGAUGUGAAAUACCCGAGCUUAACUUGGGUGCUGCAUUUGAAACUGGAUAUCUAGAGUGCAGGAGAGGUAAGUGGAAUUCCUAGUGUAGCGGUGAAAUGCGUAGAGAUUAGGAAGAACACCAGUGGCGAAGGCGACUUACUGGACUGUAACUGACACUGAGGCAUGAAAGCGUGGGUAGCAAACAGGAUUAGAUACCCUGGUAGUCCACGCCGUAAACGAUGAGUACUAGGUGUAGGGGGGUCCAACCUUCUGUGCCGCAGUUAACACAAUAAGUACUCCGCCUGGGAAGUACGAUCGCAAGAUUAAAACUCAAAGGAAUUGACGG